Dermacentor silvarum is the source of this 335-nucleotide long non-coding RNA. RefSeq lists it as uncharacterized. The transcript has 3 exons. The record is from RefSeq and is a predicted model, not a curated record. Lineage: Eukaryota; Metazoa; Arthropoda; Arachnida; Ixodida; Ixodidae.
GCAGGAUGCCACUCGUGUGCUUUGGUAAUAGCGGCUGUAACAGCCUUGGUUGUUCUGAUGUCUACUGGUGGUGUCAGUGGAAUUCCCAAAUUUCCUGCAAGAAAAUUGCAAAUUAAAAGGAUUCUCAUUCUGCUUUUAUUUAUGGAUGGGGAGUAUGUGGUGCCAUGGAUGGAGUCUUGCCCCCUCAUUCCGUACACUAUGUUAGUCUUCUGUGUCCAAUGCCAUUUUACAUUUGAAUGCGAUUGUAUAAUUUUGUUAAGUUCUGGCUCUCACCUACGCUUGAAAGUUUGUUACCCACUGCUGGUGGCACACUUGCACUUGUGUGACAUUUUUUU